GACGAACGCUGGCGGCGCGCUUAACACAUGCAAGUCGAACGGAAAGGCCUGCUUUCCCUUGUGGAUUGCGGGUACUCGAGUGGCGAACGGGUGAGUAACACGUGAGUGAUCUGCCCCCAACUUGGGUAUAAGCCUGGGAAACUGGGUCUAAUUCCCGAUAGGACUGUAGGGUGGUGCCUGUGGUGGAAAACGAUUUUCUAGUGGUUGGGGAUGAGCGCGCGGCCUAUCAGCUUGUUGGUGGGGUAAUGGCCUACCAAGGCGGCGACGGGUAGCCGGCCUGAGAGUGUGGACGGCCACAUUGGGACUGAGAUACGGCCCAGACUCCUACGGGAGGCAGCAGUGGGGAAUAUUGAGCAAUGGGCGGAAGCCUGAGGCAGCGACGCCGCGUGGGGGAUGACGGCCUUCGGGUGGUAAACUCCUUUCGACCGCGAGGAAGCCACCUGGUUGGAAGGGUGGUGACGGUAGUGGUAGAAGAAGCACCGGCUAACUACGUG
RNAcentral lists this ribosomal RNA (494 nucleotides) under uncultured bacterium. RNAcentral's name for it is "partial 16S ribosomal RNA". It matches the Rfam family "Bacterial small subunit ribosomal RNA", at positions 28 to 507 of the family's 1533-position model. The record is from RNAcentral.